AUACUUACCUGGCAGGGGAGAUACCAUGAUCACGAAGGUGGUUUUCCCAGAGCGAGGCUUAUCCAUUGCACUCCGGAUGUGCUGACCCCUGUGAUUUCCCCAAAUGUGGGAAACUCGACUGCAUAAUUUGUGGUAGUGGGAGACUGCCACUAU
This 153-nucleotide small nuclear RNA is filed under the name Echinops telfairi (small Madagascar hedgehog). Its description in RNAcentral is "U1 spliceosomal RNA (ENSETEG00000023369.1)". It matches the Rfam family "U1 spliceosomal RNA". Rfam says of the family: U1 is a small nuclear RNA (snRNA) component of the spliceosome (involved in pre-mRNA splicing). Its 5' end forms complementary base pairs with the 5' splice junction, thus defining the 5' donor site of an intron. The record is from RNAcentral. Lineage: Eukaryota; Metazoa; Chordata; Mammalia; Afrosoricida; Tenrecidae.